CGUGGGUUAGCGCGCGCCCCCAGCAUACAGUGCGCAGCCUGUCGGGUUUUUGCCCGCAGAAUUUCCGGCGGCGACCCGGUCUCGGUCCUUCGUCGCCCGGAGUAUGCUGGCAGGGCCCUACCCCGGCUUGCCCGACCUGGCGUUGCCCUGGGGUCGCGGUGCGCCCUUGCUCCCCACGUCCUCCUACGGGAGCGGGCUGUGUUUGCUUUCCCCGGGGCCGCCCGAGCCUCCAGGGCUUCCCCCAGACAUUAGCGCAGGGUUCGCGGCUCCCUCGCCCGCCCCGUGCUCGCGGACAGCUGCAAGCCGGCCCCGGUACCGCCCUGUGCUAUGUUUCCCAUUUGUGUUUUCCUUUAACUUUUAAUUGGGUCAUUUACCCUAGUGGGUUUUUACUGGAUUUGGUCAAAAUUGGUUCAGAUGAAGGGGUUUUUUUUUCCUUUCUCCAGACCCCGACUGCUUGAGAAGCGUUAGUGUGUACAAUUCCUAGGAAACCUUUCUUUAAUACCUGCUAAUACCAAGUUAGACUGUGCAGUUAUGGCAAGAUAUUAAUGAUCAAGAAUAGGAAAAAACAACCUCACACUCUGGAGGCAGCAAACAUAGACCAUGACCACACACCACCCCCAUCUUUUUAUAUGAACUUGUUCUGUGACUUGAACUACCAGGGCUAUCACCGUCUUGCAGCCGGUGUCGGUGACAGAGUGGGGAACGCCUGGGACGCAGAGCACACGUGUUUCACAAAACAUCCUUUGUACUGCUCUGCAUCUGUCCUGAAGCCACUGUUCUGUACAGGAGAAGAAAACCUCACAUCCUCUGAUCAGUGUCUCUGACACAGGCAGACCCCAGGGAACGUUCUUUAUAGUUGAUCUAACAAAACACAUCACCUCUACCUUGAGUCCGGAUUCCUUUUGCCUGUAGACCAAUAGGACCACAACCUGUGUCCGUAAAACUGUGGUAGACAUUGAAAUUAGUUGUUUUUUAAAUGAAAGCUUCAUAAUUUUAGAAGAAGGAAGCUAAAUUCAAACAUCCUGGAACCUGAAAGCCAACACCCUUGCUUCUGCCUUUUGUUUCAAAUUAAAUUUGCAUGUUCACAGAGCACCAAGCUGCCUCAACACAAGAGCAGUUCCUUGCCCAGGAGAGCCUUCCACCUACCCAUGCUCCUGUAAAAUAUGGAGCAUCAUAGCCAGAAGAAAAAAUAAUUCAACAUCCUUCUUGCCAUUAGACAACUUUGAGGUAAAUGGACUGUGCUGUCACCUAUCUGAGCCUAAUUUGCACAAAGUGAACUUUUCCCAACCAGGAGAUCUUACACCACCUUCAGCUCUCCUGUGAAAUACAAAUUUCCCUUUCCACCUAGAAGAAAUUUUACAAUUUUAGCAUUCUAUGCCUGAAUAAGGGUGAGUGUGCCUGAAAGCUUACAAAUAAAGACUUUUUUGAAAACA
This 1433-nucleotide long non-coding RNA is filed under the name Crocodylus porosus (Australian saltwater crocodile). Its description in RNAcentral is "lncRNA (ENSCPRG00005010414.1)". The record is from RNAcentral. Lineage: Eukaryota; Metazoa; Chordata; Crocodylia; Crocodylidae.